AUGGCUCUCACCUCUGGGCUGAACACAGCGUACUGUAAGUACAGGUUUCCUCUGUUUCUCCUUGUGUUACUCACUCUCUCUUUCCUUUCCUCUCCACAGGUAUCAACUUGGACGCAAAGCACAGUUACUCUGCUUUGGAUGGCUUUCACCUCUGGGCUGGACACAGCGUACUGUAAGUACAGGUUUCCUCUGUUUCUCCUUGUGUUACUCACUCUCUCUUUCCUUUCCUCUCCACAGGUAUCAACUUGGACGCAAAGCACAGUUACUCUGCUUUGGAUGGCUUUCACCUCUGGGCUGGACACAGCGUACUGUAAGUACAGGUUUCCUCUGUUUCUCCUUGUGUUACUCACUCUCUCUUUCCUUUCCUCUCCACAGGUAUCAACUUGGACGCAAAGCACAGUUACUCUGCUUUGGAUGGCUUUCACCUCUGGGCUGGACACAGCGUACUGUAAGUACAGGUUUCCUCUGUUUCUCCUUGUGUUACUCACUCUCUCUUUCCUUUCCUCUCCACAGGUAUCAACUUGGACGCAAAGCACAGUUACUCUGCUUUGGAUGGCUUUCACCUCUGGGCUGGACACAGCGUACUGUAAGUACAGGUUUCCUCUGUUUCUCCUUGUGUUACUCACUCUCUCUUUCCUUUCCUCUCCACAGGUAUCAACUUGGACGCAAAGCACAGUUACUCUGCUUUGGAUGGCUUUCACCUCUGGGCUGGACACAGCGUACUGUAAGUACAGGGUUCGCUCUAUUCCUCCUCGUGUUAUUCACUCUCUUUCCUUUCCUCUCCACAGGUAUCAACUUGGACGCAAAGCACAGUUACUCUGCUUUGGAUGGCUUUCACCUCUGGGCUGGACACAGCGUACUGUAAGUACAGGGUUCGCUCUAUUCCUCCUCGUGUUAUUCACUCUCUUUCCUUUCCUCUCCACAGGUAUCAACUUGGACGCAAAGCACAGUUACUCUGCUUUGGAUGGCUUUCACCUCUGGGCUGGACACAGCGUACUGUGCUAUCUCCGGAGAUCUGAAGCACGCUCACAACAUAUACUGUACUGA
This is a long non-coding RNA of Cyprinus carpio (common carp), 1047 nucleotides long. Lineage: Eukaryota; Metazoa; Chordata; Actinopteri; Cypriniformes; Cyprinidae. The record is from Ensembl.